GAUGAACGCUGGCGGUAUGCUUAACACAUGCAAGUCGAACGGGGUUCAUAGUCACCUAGUGGCGGACGGGUGCGUAACGCGUGAGAAUCUGGCCUCAGGUCCGGGACAACCACGGGAAACGGUGGCUAAUACCGGAUGUGCCAUAUUGGUGAAAGAUUAAUUGCCUGAGGAUGAGCUCGCGUCUGAUUAGCUAGUUGGUGGGGUAAAGGCUUACCAAGGCGACGAUCAGUAACUGGUCUGAGAGGAUGACCAGUCACACUGGGACUGAGACACGGCCCAGACUCCUACGGGAGGCAGCAGUGGGGAAUUUUCCGCAAUGGGCGAAAGCCUGACGGAGCAAUACCGCGUGAGGGAGGAAGGCUCUUGGGUUGUAAACCUCUUUUCUCAGGGAAGAAGAAUGACGGUACCUGAGGAAUCAGCAUCGGCUAACUCCGUG
This 436-nucleotide ribosomal RNA is filed under the name uncultured bacterium. Its description in RNAcentral is "partial 16S ribosomal RNA". It matches the Rfam family "Bacterial small subunit ribosomal RNA", at positions 28 to 507 of the family's 1533-position model. The record is from RNAcentral.